GCUUGUCUCAAAGAUUAAGCCACGCGUGUCUCGGUAUAGGUUCUUGUACGGCGAAAUUGCGAAUGGCUGAUUAAAGCAGGUACAGUUUAUUUGAAGGUCGUUCUUUACAUGGACAACUGUUGUAAUUCUAGGGCUAAUGCACCCGCGCCCGACUUUGUGGAAGGGUUGUGUUGAUUUGUUUGAGAACCAGCCCCGGUACUGCUUGGUCUUGUGGUGAUUCAUAAUAACUGAACGAAUCUCAUGGCAUCAGUUGGCGAUGAAUCGUUCAAGUUUAUGACCUAUCAACUUCUGACGGUACGGCAUUUGCCUACCGUGGCAAUGACGAGUGACGGGGAAUUAGGGCUCGAUUCCGCAGGUGGGCCUGAUAAACGCUUACCACAUGUAAGGAAGGCAGCAGG
This 398-nucleotide ribosomal RNA is filed under the name uncultured fungus. Its description in RNAcentral is "partial small subunit ribosomal RNA". It matches the Rfam family "Eukaryotic small subunit ribosomal RNA", at positions 30 to 432 of the family's 1831-position model. Lineage: Eukaryota; Fungi. The record is from RNAcentral.